GACGAACGCUGGCGGCGUGCCUAAUACAUGCAAGUAGAACGCUGAAGCUUGGUGCUUGCACCGAGCGGAUGAGUUGCGAACGGGUGAGUAACGCGUAGGUAACCUGCCUGGUAGCGGGGGAUAACUAUUGGAAACGAUAGCUAAUACCGCAUAAGAGUAGAUGUUGCAUGACAUUUGCUUAAAAGGUGCAAUUGCAUCACUACCAGAUGGACCUGCGUUGUAUUAGCUAGUUGGUGAGGUAACGGCUCACCAAGGCAACGAUACAUAGCCGACCUGAGAGGGUGAUCGGCCACACUGGGACUGAGACACGGCCCAGACUCCUACGGAAGGCAGCAGUAGGGAAUCUUCGGCAAUGGACGGAAGUCUGACCGAGCAACGCCGCGUGAGUGAAGAAGGUUUUCGGAUCGUAAAGCUCUGUUGUAAGAGAAGAACGAGUGUGAGAGUGGAAAGUUCACACUGUGACGGUAUCUUACCAGAAAGGGACGGCUAACUACGUG
Molecule: ribosomal RNA, 497 nt
Filed under: uncultured bacterium
Lineage: Bacteria
Description: partial 16S ribosomal RNA
Rfam family: Bacterial small subunit ribosomal RNA
Source: RNAcentral